RNAcentral lists this transfer RNA (75 nucleotides) under Candidatus Omnitrophota bacterium. Its description in RNAcentral is "tRNA-Val". It matches the Rfam family "tRNA". From Rfam's summary of the family: Transfer RNA (tRNA) molecules are approximately 80 nucleotides in length. Their secondary structure includes four short double-helical elements and three loops (D, anti-codon, and T loops). The record is from RNAcentral. Lineage: Bacteria; Pseudomonadati; Candidatus Omnitrophota.
GGGCAAGUAGCUCAACGGUGGAGCAUUCGGUUUACAUCCGACAGGUUACAGGUUCGAGUCCUGUCUUGCCCACCA